UGAGACAAUUCUAAACAUUAUCUGACAUAAAGAUUUAAUCUUUUUUUUUUUUUUACAUUGGUGCUGUUAUUCACUUUUUGCCAGGAGAAACAAAUCAUCAAGGCAUGACACAGGUCUUGUGUCAGAAGAUUGAGGCCCUCACAUCAAGUAUAAGAACAAGAUCUCAACGCCUUUACCAAAACAAUGACCGCAACAAAUGUCGACAUAGACUUCAAUAAGGCAACAAAAGACCACUUUGCAGGCCAUGCUAGCCGAGUACAAAAGCCUUGUUACACCCGAGCAAGCAGUGUGCAUGGAUCCCUGGCCUUGGCAAAUAAAAUAAAUAAAAUGGCACUGUUGAUUUCAGCACAAAGAAGGAAGUCUUCGAUAGGGUCAUGGCAGUUCGAAGUCUUCAAGAGGAGAAGAUCCUUGUGAAAGAGAUCAAGCAGCACUGGGAUUCUCUCAAGGCCCAUGCCAGUGUCUUGUCUGAGUUGUCUCUCUUGUCUGAGUGAAAACACCCUGCAAGAGGAUCUGGAGUGGUUUCAUUCGACUCCCACAGGUACGCCUCCUAACACCCCUGGUCUAUUUGCACCCCUAACGGCAUCCGGAUCUCCUCAAUCCCUUUCAUCAUCGUCAUCAUCGCCACCUCUAUCGCCGGAACACUUCCUACCCUCCCCACCUACACCUCCUCUGCCACCAUCUCUAUUGUUUGGGGCACUUCCCCCUCAGACAUGUGCAUAUCAAUCAACCCCCUCAACAUAUGCUGCAUUACAACAGGGAGGUGUUGCUGAUUGUUCGGACAUAGAGGCGCCUGAUCAGACGGAUGGUGUGGUGUCAUCUUUGUUUAUAGAUAGCGUUAAAACAGCGUCUCUACAUCUUCUUAACAUUGUUCUUUACAAGUAUU
This is a long non-coding RNA of Perca flavescens (yellow perch), 883 nucleotides long. RefSeq lists it as uncharacterized. Lineage: Eukaryota; Metazoa; Chordata; Actinopteri; Perciformes; Percidae. The record is from RefSeq and is a predicted model, not a curated record. The transcript is spliced from 4 exons.